Lutra lutra (Eurasian river otter) is the source of this 179-nucleotide long non-coding RNA. RefSeq lists it as uncharacterized. The record is from RefSeq and is a predicted model, not a curated record. The transcript is spliced from 3 exons. Lineage: Eukaryota; Metazoa; Chordata; Mammalia; Carnivora; Mustelidae.
CAUGUGGCCAUGAAAAGAGAUCUAAGCAAAACAGACAUAAGUAACAUGCCUGAUGGAGAAUUUAAAGCAAUGAUCAUAAGGCUACUCACUGGACUUGACAAAAGAAUGGAUGACAUCAGUGAGACCAUUAACAAAGAGAUAAGGAAUAACAUAGCAGAGAUAAAGUGCUCAAUAAACAA